AUGUCUGAUGGGCAAAGGCUUGCCACCUUGGGAUCGGGAAACGCCCUAUCAGGUUGUUGGUGAGGUAACGGCUCACCAAGCCUAAGACGGGUAGCGGGUGUGAGAGCAUGACCCGCCGCAUCGGGACUGAGACACUGCCCGGACUCCUACGGGAGGCUGCAGCAACGAAUCUUCCGCAAUGCGCGAAAGCGUGACGGAGCAAUGCCGCGUGCAGGAUGAAGCCCCUCGGGGUGUAAACUGCUGUCAGGGCUUAGGAAUUUUGACCAAACCCAAAGGAAGGGCCGGCUAACUUCGUGCCAGCAGCCGCGGUAAUACGAAGGGCCCGAGCGUUAAUCAGAAUCACUGGGCUUAAAGCGUGCGCAGGCGGAAACGUCAGUGUCUUGUGAAAUCCCACGGCUCAACCGUGGAAUUGCAGGGCAUACUGCGUUUCUUGAGGUCGGUAGAGGUCGCCGGAACUCUAGGUGUAGCGGUGAAAUGCGUAGAUAUCUAGAGGAACGCCGAAGGUGAAGACAGGCGACUGGGCCGAUUCUGACGCUCAGGCACGAAAGCGUGGGGAGCAAACAGGAUUAGAUACCCUGGUAGUCCACGCCGUAAACGUUGUGCACUAGAUCCUGGAGGUACUGACACCGUCGGGGUCGAAGAUAACUUGCUAAGUGCACCGCCUGGGGAGUACGGUCGCAAGGCUAAAACUCAAAGGAAUUGACGGGGGCUCACACAAGCGGUGGAGCAUGUGGCUUAAUUCGAGGCAACGCGAAGAACCUUACCUGGGUUUGACAUGCUUGGAUUAGCCUGUCGAAAGACAGGUGACGCUAAUUCUAGUGGAACUUGCACAGGUGCUGCAUGGCUGUCGUCAGCUCGUGCUGUGAAGUGUCGGGUUAAGUCCCUUAACGAGCGAAACCCCUGCCGCUAGUUGCCAUCAGGUCAAGCUGAGCACUCUAGCGGGACUGCCGGUGUCAAACCGGAGGAAGGUGGGGAUGACGUCAAGUCCUCAUGGCCUUUAUGCCCAGGGAUGCACACGUGCUACAAUGGUAGGUACAACGCGACGCGAUGCCGCGAGGCGGAGCAAAUCGCAAAAAACCUGCCCCAGUUCGGAUCGCAGUCUGCAACUCGACUGCGUGAAGUUGGAA
RNAcentral lists this ribosomal RNA (1127 nucleotides) under uncultured organism. RNAcentral describes it as "bacterial SSU rRNA". It matches the Rfam family "Bacterial small subunit ribosomal RNA", at positions 190 to 1331 of the family's 1533-position model. The record is from RNAcentral.